RNAcentral lists this long non-coding RNA (323 nucleotides) under Pan troglodytes (chimpanzee). Its description in RNAcentral is "lncRNA (ENSPTRG00000053494.1)". Lineage: Eukaryota; Metazoa; Chordata; Mammalia; Primates; Hominidae. The record is from RNAcentral.
GUCACAAUUUACCCAAGAUGAGCACAACCAGGUCUGUAUGGCAGCCUCUGACGUGUCCAAGGUAUUCUACCUGAAGGGCUGAUGUGGACUGUCCUCUCAUCCUUCAUUGAUUAUCUGGUCAACUGGCAGAUGGUUGACCCCAUCCUGAGAGGUUUCCCUGGACUAGACAUGCUUUUCUGCCUGCCCAUCACCAUUGCCAAAUCGGGCAUCCAAAUUUGUGUCACAUGACUCUCUUUUCUCUCCUGGCCAUUCCUGACCGCAUCAGAAAAGGUAUCUCAGGGAGAUGGUGGGGAUGCACCCAGCAAAGGAAGGAUGGAAGAGAU